UCCCCCCACCUCGCGUGUUCGUUGGGCGCGGCCGGGAGGCCCGCCGGGGGAACAGCCGCGGUGGCUGCUGCCACAGCUAUAGCGUGCUUGUUCGCAUCCAAAUUAUCAUCAUACGCACCCGAUAAAGCUUCACACUUAUUGAACUGAGACGGAAUCGUAUUGGAAGAUCUAGAAAAGCUCCACCUUCUCUUCGCCUUGGCCGGUGGUGAGGGACCAGCUUUUUUUAUGCCAAAAAGUCGCCGGAAAAAUCCCAUGUUUCAUAGUUUAAAAAAUUUGAUUAGUGGAAGACAUUACCGGGAGAGAGUGGCUGAAAGAGCGAGAAUAGAGAACUCGGGG
This 336-nucleotide unclassified non-coding RNA is filed under the name Hevea brasiliensis (rubber tree). The record is from RNAcentral. Lineage: Eukaryota; Viridiplantae; Streptophyta; Magnoliopsida; Malpighiales; Euphorbiaceae.